UUCUAGAACAAGUGCUGAGAAUCUGGGA
Molecule: non-coding RNA, 28 nt
Filed under: Rattus norvegicus (Norway rat)
Lineage: Eukaryota; Metazoa; Chordata; Mammalia; Rodentia; Muridae
Source: RNAcentral